ACACAUUUAAUUAGCUAUUCUACUCCAAAAGUUGGUCAGCACAGUAAUCUCAUUGGAAUAGUGAAAGUGCACCAUGUAAUGACUUUUCAAAAAAUGAAUUUGGUAGGACGAGAUAUAAAUUCAGCAAAUGGUAAGCAGAGCCAAAUCAGCAUCAGCCAGUUUUCCUGUAGAACUUGUGAUACAAGUUGUGAGCCUUGUGAUCCACGGAUCCCGUAAUUACCACAAGCAGUGCUGGCAUGAAAUAUCCAGUCUGCUUUGCUCACUGAGCUCUAAAAGCUGGGCUUACACUCACCAUGGACUAUUCAGCUCCUGGGGCUCUUCACCUCACAGAUGAGGUAGCACCUUGUUUCACUCUGAAAAGGAUGUAGUUCACCGAUGAAAAACUAGGAAAAGCUUUUGCUCUUGAGGGAAAGGACACACUUUAGACAAGAUAUAAAUGUGAUCUUGCUGACCAGCACACUCAAUCUCUCAGGGUAGUCAAGGGCCUGCCCAUCUGCCAGCUGCCAUGUUUCUGUGUCCUGUGCCAUUAUGGUUCACUGCUGUGAACUCAGGCUGAGGGUGUUUGCUCCACUCAGCCCAAGAAUUUUUAUUGUUGUUGUUGUUUUUAAUUAUAGGAGGAGUAUGUUUUAUAGGGUGCUCAGGAAAGGCCCUUUUUUUUUGGUGAGGAAGAUUGGCCCUGAGCUAACAUCUGUUGCCAAUCUUCCUCUUUUUUUUUUUCCUUUCUCCCCAAACACCCAGUACAUGGUCGUAUAUCUUAGUUGUAGGUCAUUCUAGUUCCUUUAUGUGGGAUGCCACCUCAGCAUGGCUUGACAGGUGGUGCUAGAUCCGUGCCCAGGAUCCAAACCUGCAAACCUGAUGCCAGCGAAGUGGAGCAUGAAAACUUAACCACUCGGCCACAGGGCGGGCCCCGGCCCAAUAGUUUUAAGCUGCUGAUUCUUAGAGAACAGUGGUCAUUCUCAACAUUGGGCAGGAGACUCCUGAAGUCUGAGGACUCACUAAUCUCUAUAGAUUUUGCACUUGGAGCAUCAAUCAGCACCUGUACUUAUUAGCAGAAGGUGUCCAGACUGAGCCAACAGCCUUGCCAAUAGUGGUCCAGAUAUCCAAAAGUAAGAGAACACCUCUGAACGCCAAUGCUCCAGAAGAGUCCUAAGAGGGAAGACUUCUGCCACUUAGCAAGAGGCCCAGCUGUAAGUUUCUUUUCUCAGCAAAACAUGUCCCCUUGAGCUCAUCAUGAUAGGCAGGACUUUUCAUCAGCAUAUUCAAAAUGCAAAAGCCAAGAAUAGGAGGUAAAAAGGACCAUAAAAGCAUGAUGAGGAGAUCCCUAUGGAAGAUGAAACACUGCAGAAGACAAGAAAGCAGCAAUCCUGACGGUGAAGAGUAGAGAAACCCUUACAAAGGCAGCAGAUCUCCUGGGAAACACUGAGUGAAUCCAGUUAUACCGGACAUACAAAGAAAUGGAGGCGUUCAUCUCUUUCAAUCUCCUCGGAUGCAUUAGGGCUAUGAGUGGCCAGCUGGGGCUAUGGGCAAGGCUGAUCAAAAAACAUUUAAUCUAACAAGAGUAUUACCAUUGCAAUGAUAGAAAGAUCAAAUAUGACAAUAACAACCUAGAAAAAGACAGCAGAUUGCAAGGUAUGAUGACGUGCCAAGUAUACGUAAUAGAGGCAAAUAUCCCGGUGGGUGUCUGAGUCUAGUGCAGAAGACGAUCUUAAGUGUAUUCCCAUACUUAAGAAUUUUCUAAAAACUUAUAAAAAUAAAUCUCUUUUGAGUAACAAUUCUCUUUAGUUAAUCUCGAUUAUGUCCAUUUUCUGUCCCAUUACUUUUCAUGUCUAAUUUUGAUCAACUUAAAUAUACACCUGAAACUGGCUUAGGUAAGUAUUCAAAUCAGAUGAAAAUACAUUUUCAUAUUAGAAACCCUGCCCUGAAUAUAUACUUCUGUGGAGGUUCAGCAUGCAUAUUAAGAUGUGAUAGAUUAGUCAAGAGAAUAUUAGUCAAAAAAUAUUUGCAUGCUGGAAGGAACUGCUUCCUUAGGACACUGAAUAAAGGACUUAUUAUGAACCUAUAAUAGUUCAUAGCAUUUUCAUAGCAUGCCGUUAUUAUGACUGUUUCACAUACUGGUAAUGGAGGAAUCUAGUUGGAGAAAACUCUUCUUAUUGUUAGUGAACUUGGAAAAAUUUAUUUUGCUGUUUUAAAGUCUGAAUAAAAGGCAUCUGGGAAUUGGAAAUCAGGAGGGCGACGGUCACCAUGUGAUUGUUUAGAACAUGUUGAAUUGUGCCACAGUCUGAAAGGAGGCAAAAAUAGCUUAGGAAAGGAGAAUUUAAUCUGGCUGGAGAAAGGGAAUAGAGUAUAAAUAAAUUUUAAAGGUUGGCUAUGCACGCUAUGGCAAAGCUGUCACUUGACAGGUUUAAUUUACAGAGCUGGCAUUUAGACCUCAGAUAAUCCAGGCAGACACCGACCUAAGUAAGCAGCAUGACCAGGAUAAGCUUACAUAAGGAGAAAUGCUCUUGAACGGUUUGAGGCAAACACCAUAACAUUUACUUCACAAAAAAGCUUCAGGAGUCGUGCUUUUUCCCUCCUCUAACACAACUGUUUUUUAACUGGGCAUGUUCAACAAACAUUGCUAUCUUACUGUAUUUCUACAGCUCAUUUCAUCACUGGAAGAUACUGAAUGAGAAAAAAGGAGUAUAGGAGCAUUUCACAAUUUCUUCUAUUUAAGAUAGUUGUCAUAUCUACCACGUGUGUCUUGAAUCCUAGACAUAAUAAUACACAUGGUAGAUGUGCAACCAAUAUUAGUUUGGAUAUGGUCAGGUUACUUUCCCACCUGAAAUCCUUUUGGGGCAUCCCGUUCCCAGUUUUUCUAAGUGUUCUUUGCAGGCUCCUUUUAGUCUCUCAAUCCCUUUAACAGUGGGGUUUCGUCCUAGGGCCUCCUGGCCCCACUCUGCACGCUCCCACAGCUUUGGCUAUCUACCUUCCCUCCCUCCCUCCCCAACACUUAUUUGUUAAAUGUGUGGCAUAGGCCAGGCACUCUGCUAUCUCAGGAUGAACAACAUAUACAUGGUUUCUGCCUCUAAGGGAACUGACAUACAGACGAGGAAAGAGAUACCAAGUAACUAAGCAAAGAAUAUAAUUAUUAGUUGUAAUAUGUGCUGUCAGGGAGGUACACAGAAUAGCUGGAGUGACUGACUUUAGACAGGAAGUUAUGGGCUGUGUCUCCCAGGAGACCCAGACCUAAGUGACGAGAAUGAAUCACAGACAGAGGAGGAGGGAGAGAUUCUUGGUGGAGGACAUGGCAGUGCAAAUGCCAUGGAAAGUAAGGAAAGGAAGGAAAGUAAGGAAAGGAAGCCAGAGCUGGCCUGGAGAUCUGGCAGGGACCAGACCACUCAGGGCCUUCCUUGUAGGCCAGGAUUCACCCGAAGUGAUAGUGACAUGCUGAUCUCUUUGGCGGAGCCUUUACGCGAAGAAUUCUAGACUUAACUUCCCCUCUUGUAUCAUCC
Molecule: long non-coding RNA, 3491 nt
Filed under: Equus caballus (horse)
Lineage: Eukaryota; Metazoa; Chordata; Mammalia; Perissodactyla; Equidae
Description: lncRNA (ENSECAG00000043891.1)
Source: RNAcentral